This 106-nucleotide Y RNA is filed under the name Carlito syrichta (Philippine tarsier). Its description in RNAcentral is "Y RNA (ENSTSYG00000019779.2)". It matches the Rfam family "Y RNA". From Rfam's summary of the family: Y RNAs are components of the Ro ribonucleoprotein particle (Ro RNP), in association with Ro60 and La proteins. The Y RNAs and Ro60 and La proteins are well conserved, but the function of the Ro RNP is not known. Lineage: Eukaryota; Metazoa; Chordata; Mammalia; Primates; Tarsiidae. The record is from Rfam by way of RNAcentral.
AGUAGGUCCGAAGGUAGUAAGUUAUCUCAAUUGAUUGUUCAGUCACAGAUUGAACUCUUUGUAAAACUCUCCCUGCCUUCUCAUUAUUGCAUUUGACUAGUCUUAA